AUUGAACGCUGGCGGCAUGCCUUACACAUGCAAGUCGAACGGUAACAGGUUAAGCUGACGAGUGGCGAACGGGUGAGUAAUACAUCGGAACGUGCCCAGUAGUGGGGGAUAGCCCGGCGAAAGCCGGAUUAAUACCGCAUACGACCUAAGGGUGAAAGGGGGGGAUCGCAAGACCUCUCGCUAUUGGAGCGGCCGAUGUCAGAUUAGCUAGUUGGUGGGGUAAAAGCUCACCAAGGCGACGAUCUGUAGCUGGUCUGAGAGGACGACCAGCCACACUGGGACUGAGACACGGCCCAGACUCCUACGGGGGGCAGCAGUGGGGAAUUUUGGACAGUGGGCGCAAGCCUGAUCCAGCCAUGCCGCGUGCGGGAAGAAGGCCUUCGGGUUGUAAACCGCUUUUGUCAGGGAAGAAAUCCUUUGGGUUAAUACCUCGGGGGGAUGACGGUACCUGAAGAAUAAGCACCGGCUAACUACGU
RNAcentral lists this ribosomal RNA (476 nucleotides) under uncultured bacterium. RNAcentral's name for it is "partial 16S ribosomal RNA". It matches the Rfam family "Bacterial small subunit ribosomal RNA", at positions 30 to 506 of the family's 1533-position model. The record is from RNAcentral.